AGUGAACGCUGGCGGUAUGCCUAACACAUGCAAGUCGAACGGCAGCACAGUAAGAUCUUGCUCUUACGGGUUGCGAGUGGCGGACGGGUGACGAAUACAUCGGAAUCUACUUUUUCGUGGGGGAUAACGUAGGGAAACUUACGCUAAUACCGCAUCCGAUCUACGGGUGAAAGCAGUGGAUCUUCGGACCUUUCGCGAUUGAAUGAGCCGAUGUCGGAUUUGCUAGUUGGGGGGGUAAAGGCCCACCCAGUCGACGAUCCGCAGCUCGACUGUGAGGAGGGUCGGCCACAUGGGAACUGGAACACGGUCAAGAGUACUACGGGAGGCAGCAGUGGGGAAUAUUAGGCAGUGGGCGCAAGCCUGAUACAGCCAUCCCGCGUGGGUGGAGAAGGCCUUCGGGUCGGAAAGACCUUUUGUGGGGAAAGAAAAGCAUCCGGUUAAUACCCCGCUGUUCUGACGGUACCCAAAAAAUAAGCACCGGCUAACUUCGUG
RNAcentral lists this ribosomal RNA (492 nucleotides) under uncultured bacterium. Its description in RNAcentral is "partial 16S ribosomal RNA". It matches the Rfam family "Bacterial small subunit ribosomal RNA", at positions 29 to 507 of the family's 1533-position model. The record is from RNAcentral.